Myotis lucifugus (little brown bat) is the source of this 483-nucleotide long non-coding RNA. RefSeq lists it as uncharacterized. The record is from RefSeq and is a predicted model, not a curated record. Lineage: Eukaryota; Metazoa; Chordata; Mammalia; Chiroptera; Vespertilionidae. The transcript is spliced from 2 exons.
GGAAAUCUCCUGGGGAGAGACCCCCCCGGGCAGGCCACGUUGAGGGCCACCCAGACCUCGGCCCUGCAGCUGAGGCUGCUGCCAGCCAGGGACUAGGCCCUGGCCAGGCCCCCGAGGUGGCCCCCACGCGGACAGCCCCUGAACGCUUCGCCCCCCCUGUGGACCGCCCAGCCCCCACCUACAGCAACAUGGAGGAGGUCGAUUAGCAGGUCCCUGGCUGGUGGGGGGACGGUUUGGGAAUCCUCCAUAGAAGGCCAGCUCUUUGCCGCUUCUCCUUCUCUAACCCAGAGGACACUGGCUUCAUCAGUGGGGAGUUGGGGGGUGACAAGGGUGGAACCUCAGGUUGGGACCUCUUGUCAGCCCAAACCCCAAACCAGUGAGCCUGGGCUCUCCAGCCACCCUCAGUACUGUGGGAUUUGAUUCUCAGUUGUACCUUCAGUUCUUUCUGAUUCGCAUUAUAAACAUCAUAAUUUUAUUCUAAAA